GGUUCGAUGGUGUAGUUGGUUAUCACGUUCGUCUCACAUUGUGUGCACGAGAGGUCUCCGGUUCGAGCCCGGGUUGAACCA
Exidia glandulosa HHB12029 is the source of this 81-nucleotide non-coding RNA. NCBI's taxonomy places the organism in Eukaryota, Fungi, Basidiomycota, Agaricomycetes, Auriculariales, Exidiaceae. The record is from the annotation of a GenBank genome assembly.